This 104-nucleotide microRNA precursor is filed under the name Marmota monax (woodchuck). Lineage: Eukaryota; Metazoa; Chordata; Mammalia; Rodentia; Sciuridae. The record is from RNAcentral.
GGUGGAAUUGGUGGGUCAUAUAGUAAGUAUAUUUGUAGCUUUAUAAGAAACUACCGAAUUAUUUUUCCAGAGUGUCUGUGCCAUUUUACAUUUCCUCUAGCAAC